This 447-nucleotide ribosomal RNA is filed under the name uncultured bacterium. Its description in RNAcentral is "bacterial SSU rRNA". It matches the Rfam family "Bacterial small subunit ribosomal RNA", at positions 355 to 825 of the family's 1533-position model. The record is from RNAcentral.
UGGGGAAUAUUGGACAAUGGGCGCAAGCCUGAUCCAGCCAUGCCGCGUGAGUGACGAAGGUCUUCGGAUUGUAAAGCUCUUUUGGCGGGGACGAUAAUGACGGUACCCGCAGAAUAAGCCCCGGCUAACUUCGUGCCAGCAGCCGCGGUAAUACGAAGGGGGCUAGCGUUGUUCGGAAUUACUGGGCGUAAAGCGCACGUAGGCGGACUGAUAAGUCAGGGGUGAAAUCCCGGGGCUCAACCUCGGAACUGCCUUUGAUACUGUUAGUCUCGAGUCCGGAAGAGGUGAGUGGAAUUCCUAGUGUAGAGGUGAAAUUCGUAGAUAUUAGGAAGAACACCAGUGGCGAAGGCGGCUCACUGGUCCGGUACUGACGCUGAGGUGCGAAAGCGUGGGGAGCAAACAGGAUUAGAUACCCAAGUAGUCCCUGAGCGGGCUGGCAAGGCGCAU